Molecule: long non-coding RNA, 234 nt
Organism: Amphimedon queenslandica
Lineage: Eukaryota; Metazoa; Porifera; Demospongiae; Haplosclerida; Niphatidae
Exons: 4
Source: RefSeq, a predicted model, not a curated record
GCUACUGGAACUGAUAAAUCAGCUGAAAGAUGAAAAGCAAAAUGAAAUUAGAAAACAACAAAGUCUUGUGGAACAAUUACAGGAAUCUCGAAUUGACCAAGUUUUUAAAGAAAAACUUCAGGAAAACAGUGUUGGAACACAAUCUGUUCAGCAGCAAUCGACAAAAGAAGUGCCAGAAAGUAAUGAAGAUGUUCUUAUGAAAGAAGUAGAACAUUCAUCUGUAUUAGAAAAGUC